This 1168-nucleotide long non-coding RNA is filed under the name Pan troglodytes (chimpanzee). RNAcentral's name for it is "long non-coding RNA NONPTRT012894". The record is from RNAcentral. Lineage: Eukaryota; Metazoa; Chordata; Mammalia; Primates; Hominidae.
CCCAGGCUGAAGCCCCUGCCCGCCCCUCAGCCUCCCUGGCGGUCCAUGCGGCUUCUUGGCACCCCCGCCCCGCCCCUUCAGGGUGUCACCCACCUGGUCUGGUCCCUGCAUGGCCCAUGGCGGCAAGCGACCCCUGGCGGCGGCUGGGGGUGUUGUUGCGCCCACCCGAGGGCCAGUACUGGAGUGCUGCUCACCAGGCCAAGGGGCAGACUUGCAGAGCCUUGGAAGCAGGUCCUGGGACUGCAACCCCCAGGCUCAGACACUACUGGGGCCAGGUGACUGCGGCCGGAUCUUGGCCUGGGUCCCUCCCUAUGUGGGGAGCCCCACUCUUCACUGAUGGGAGAAAACGGCUUUUCUGGACGGCGUGAUCUGGGCACAGCAGCAGCACCGACCCCUGGAAACAGGUUACAGCGUCAACCCUUGGUCCUGCCCGGCCCCUCAGGAGGCCCUGGCCCUCUGGCUGGUGCUGGGGUCCUAGGUGCCAUGGCUGAACCCAGCGACCAGCAUCUCUCAGCUUGGUGCCCAGGGUUCCCGGGAUGCCCCAGCUGGGCCAAGCCUCUGCCUGACCAGAAGGGCUCCUGGAACUGCCUUGGGUUCCAGUGUGCCUGUCUGAGUUUGAGAUCCACAGGACGGGACUACUGGAGACGGGGUUAGGGUCGGGGAGGAAGCCCUGCCGUAUGGAGACAGAACUUCCUCAGGGAAGCCUGUUUUGCUCUGAAACCUCCACGCCCCCGAGGACGACAGGAGCUGAGCAGCUGCACCUGCAGGGGGCCUCCCUCCACACCCACACCCAGUCACAGGUCAUCCCACGCCCCCGUGGCAAGGGGAGGCUUGGCCAAGGACCAAGGUGCAAAGACAGCAGCUUGUAGCCCCGCUGGCUUGGACCACGAGUCCACCAGCCUCCGAGAACUUUCUGGAUUUCAGCUUUGGAAAGUUCCUUCUGCUUCUGAACUUCCUCUUGAGAAAAGAAAAGCAAACGUUCAGGAUGAGGAGGCAACCGAAACGAUGGGUGCCAGAGACAGCCCAAGGAAUGAGGCGAGGGACUCGAGCGCCAGGAGAGGCGGGCAGUGGGUGUGAGCCUCGGAGGGUGAUGGGUCCCUCCACCCGCGAUCUUCUAGGCCGGAUGCAAAGCCCAGGAAACAGCUGUUUCCUCCACAUCAGAUCCGCA